RNAcentral lists this ribosomal RNA (468 nucleotides) under uncultured bacterium. RNAcentral's name for it is "partial 16S ribosomal RNA". It matches the Rfam family "Bacterial small subunit ribosomal RNA", at positions 28 to 507 of the family's 1533-position model. The record is from RNAcentral.
GACGAACGCUGGCGGCGUGCUUAACACAUGCAAGUCGAACGGAAAGGCCCGGCUUUUGUGGGGUUCUCGAGUGGCGAACGGGUGAGUAACACGUGAGUAACCUGCCCUUGACUUUGGGAUAACUUCCGGAAACUGGGGCUAUUACCGGAUAGGAGCUCCUGCUGCAUGGUGGGGGUUGGAGAGUUUCGGCGGUUGGGGAUGGACUCGCGGCUUAUCAGCUUGGUGGUGGGGUAGUGGCUUACCAAGGCUUUGACGGGUAGCCUGCCUGAGAGGGUGACCGGCGACAAGGGGACUGAGAUACGGACCAGACGCGUACGGGAGGCAGCAGUGGGGAAUAUUGCACAGUGGGCGGACGCCUGAUGCAGCAACGCCGCGUGCGGGAUGACGGCUUUCGGGUUGUAAACCGCUUUGGCCUGUGACGAAGCGUGAGUGACGGUAAUGGGUAAAGAAGCACCGGCUAACUACGUG